CAUGCUAUACACAGGGUAUCCAUCCACCUGAAGCGUACAGAAAUCUAGGGCUCAAAACCAGUGCCAAAGUUCUAUCAUAAUGCAAAGUUUCUUCUUAGUCAAAUCAUCAGUUGUUCAUAAAGCUUUAUGUAUAUUUGUACGAUAAUAAUUAGCAUACGAGCGCAUGCGCACACACACACGCACAGAGAGAGAGAGAGAGAAGCAAUAAUCGAAAUAGAAUGAGAAAUGGAUAUUUCAA
Molecule: unclassified non-coding RNA, 238 nt
Filed under: Hevea brasiliensis (rubber tree)
Lineage: Eukaryota; Viridiplantae; Streptophyta; Magnoliopsida; Malpighiales; Euphorbiaceae
Source: RNAcentral